Long non-coding RNA from Patiria miniata (bat star), 5192 nucleotides. RefSeq lists it as uncharacterized. The transcript is spliced from 2 exons. The record is from RefSeq and is a predicted model, not a curated record. NCBI's taxonomy places the organism in Eukaryota, Metazoa, Echinodermata, Asteroidea, Valvatida, Asterinidae.
UUCUGCUUUCACUAACAUGGGAUCAUGACAGCUACCUUCCCGGUGGUGAUCCUGUUAAGGGAAGCUUUCCUGCUAAAGGGAAAUUUCCUGAACUAAAGCUGUCAAAUAGGGGAUGCUAGUACACUGGAUCAUUUUGAACAGUUAUCACCUUUAAUCUCCAUUAAGUCUUUAUAAUGGAGAUCGAUGGUGAUAAUUUCAUGUUGCGUUAUGCAAUUUCGUAUAGAAACAAAAGAAAGUUCCAAAUUUGAAAUACACUUGAUAAAUGUUUAGCUUGUGCCAUUUCACACAGAAAAUGUAAGGAAAUUUUGUUAUUGACUUUUUUUCUGAAAAUUUCACUUAGUGUGUGCAUACUCUAGUUUUGCAUACUUUAUUCCCAAGUUAAGUCUAUUUCGCCAUUAAUUUUGCCAAAAAAAAAUUGCUUCAAAGUGUCCAGCUGGCAUCUGGCUGAAUAUUGAUUUACAAGGUCCAAAUGACAAGGAAAUGCAAAAACAUUUUGUGUGGACCUUUAUGCACAGUCCAACUCCAAAUUGCAGUUUGACACUCGGACCUCAAUCACUUCUUGUCAUCACUCUUCAACGAUUCGGCAAUUCAUCGUGGGCCAGGACCAGCGAAGUGCUUGGAGUUGACGAGUCUGGUGAGAAUGAGACGGCUCUUUUGGAAAUCAUCCUCCAUGAUUGACAGUGACAUCCAUGACCACCACGUUCACUGCGCUCAAGUUUUACAUGCACGGGAAAUCCAGUGAACUGAGAUUUGACUGGUUUUUACUUACGAUUUGUGAGGCCACUGCUUGAACUUCUACAGUGGCAGUCUGCAGUACUUCUACUCUGGUACUCGGUAGAAUCCACAAGACUGGAUGUAACAUUGAGGGACUUCUUGACCAUGAGCGGUGCAGGAGGUGCAUACAACCUGCAAGUACUUUGGCACUUCAUGUGAACAACGCCAUAGCUACUGUGGAAGAGACUGACCCUUUCAAACAUUACUGAGGCUGGAUUGGACCAGACCAGUGCCUAGACUAGGCAGGACAGGCUGGAUGACCAUCACCAUGGUGAAUGGGAUGACCUUAAGGGUGAGUCAAACCAAGAAUGCAAUCUGCUCCAUCAAAACUUUUCAUAUGGUGUGCCAAACAACUUGAAAUUUCAAACUUGAAAUUCAAAUUUCAUAGAUCAAAUACUGGCAUAAGACCCAGGUGUGAAGAAGAUGAAUUGAAGAUAACUUUAAGCAUCAGACCGCAGUGUCUUGACAGCAUGCCUAACAGUGAGCGAUUUAUGUGAGAGGACAAAUGAGAAAAGAACUCCUCAAAAAUGGUCACUGUCUAAUUAUAAAGAAUUGAUCAAUGAAGAGUGGACUGUUGAAAAGAAAUAAGAAUAAAUUGGAUUUGCUAUUAAUUAUUGCUUUUGUAAUGGUUAAUGAUAGAAAGCAGGAGAAAAUGUGGCAUUGAGAUGCAACAUUUGUUCUCACUGUCACUCAGUUUGUUGCACCAGUUUUUGAUGGAGCAGGUUUUAAUGUUUAUUUCAAAGUGAAAAAUAAUCUGAUACUUAGAACCACAUGUAGUUGCUCUGCCCCUGCUCGUAAAUAACACUCAAUUUUUCUCCCAAGUUUAAAAAAAAAAAAAAUUCAUUUUAAUUGGAAAACAAGUUUCUUUGCUUGUCCUUUUGUGCAUUAUGUUAUGACAUAUUUUGCUGAAUAGCCUACUGAUCUGUAACGCAGCAGUAUUGCUUAUGGCACAAAGGGUACUAGGUUGUUGAACGUGCCAUUGCAUCACAUCAACAACAAAUUCUUCUUAAAAUAUCCCCACAAGAUUUGCCUGAAUUAUUGUCAGGCUGCAAAUACAUGCAAGUCCAAAGUUCCACAGUAAAUAUUCUAUAACUAAACUGAUUUUUCGUUUGACGGCUCAUUAAAAAGUAAUCAACUUGUGUAUUGCUAGAAAAAUAGCAUAUUAAAAACAAAAAUUUAUUUUGGGGGGUUUCAACUCGAAAACAGCACGGGGGAGAGCAACUAUUUCCCAUUAUUGUACUGUUUAGCUGCUUACACUGUACUUUGUCUUUUACAUGGUAAUAGUACACACAUUCCUCAUUCUGUUGGAUGCAAUGUUCUGAAGAUUUUUUUUCAAAUGCGUAUUACUUUGCCCUAUAUUAAAGCUGGCCACAAUAAAUUUAAGUCCUUUGAUGAGAUAGUUAACAGAUAACAGAAUCUAAAAUUUAUCUUGUGUUGCGCCAGUGGAAAUUACAUUUGUUUUGAACUUGGGCAUCGCCAGGAUGGGGCCCCAAAAAAGGGGGAAAAUGAAGGGAAAAAAAAGAAGACAAGGUGCAAAGUCAUAUUGCUUUUAUAGUCUUAUGCACAUUUAACAACAUAGGCGUCUGCAGGACUGUCAAUGGGGUUCGGUGGGCAAAUGGUCCCUCCCCCCCCCACAACCCUCGAAAAAAUGAUAAAUUGAGAAUAUGCUGGAGAAAGUACAAGGAUUUUUGGAAAUAAUGUGCAUUGCCCCCUCUAGAAUAAAAUCCUGGCAACGCCCAUGGUUUUGAAUACAUCAGCAAUUUUGCUGUCAUUAAAACUGUCAACAAAUGAUAAAUAAGAGGCUUGUAUAGAAAUAUUUCACAUAUUCCAUGAACGUUUGUGAAAUCUCUGAGAGGGACAUUUUAUACUGUUAUGGGAAAUGCAUGUUUUCUCGUGUCUGCCACUUUGAUAAGGUGUUUAUUCGCAAGCAAAAUAAAUGAUGAUCAAAAUGCUGAGCAAUUUAAGAGUAGGCUCUGCUGUUAUACAAGCAGUGUGUAGGUGCCAGUUGGGUUCAUGACCUUAUGAUCUCCAUUCCAAUCUGUUGCUGACCAUUCCUCUGUGCUUCCUUGCACUUGAUAAAAUAGGACUGCUUCUCAAUAUUUUGCAGCCGUAAAUAUCUUUUAAUUUCCUGAAAAAAAGGAAUUUCCUUUCUCCAAGUUUGGCCCACACUUCAUAGAGCUAGUUACUCUAGCUUUUAUGUUUAGUCUGAGUGAAUCUUACUUAUUCUUCAUCUGUCAUGGUUUUCAACAUUGCCAUUCUGUAGUAAGUUCUUAUCUUACUAUACAUUUGUUCUCAAAUUUUACAUCAAAUAUCUCCUUUGUAUCGUCGGACAUUUCACUGAAGGUGUUCAAAAGUUCUUUGUAAAGAAGGGUUUUUAUUUUGGUGAACUCUCAGGGAAGACAACAUGUACAUUUGAAACGAAAUACUGUAGUUUAAAUUAAAGAUAAAGGCAGGUCUCAUUCUUUCAGGUCUUAUCUCUGUCUAUAGAUUGAGGGAGUUCUCUCUUUUCAUGUGGAUCACAAAUAUACUGGAAAGAUUAAAGACUAUGGCAUCACCUUGGAAAGUUAAACCUUGGUUGUAAUGUCCUUAUUUUGAACACCACAAAACUAUAAAAUUACUUGCAAUUUUUUCAGCAAAAAAAAUGUGUAUAUAGGUUUCUUUGAACACACAAAAACAAAAUUGCCAUUAGUACUUCCCAUUUUUUUGGCGUGGAAAUGAUUGUUUCAUUUCUUUACAGCCAACAAUCUUCGAAUUUAAAUUCACCAUCUGAAAUGAAUGGGGCAUUACCGUUGAUCUGAGAACUCCCGCAAGCAUACAUGUAUAGAUCUAUUGGGGCGAUCACGUUGAUCAUCAUCAUCAUCUAGGUCAUCGGUCAUGUGCAAACUUAAUCUUAUCGAUGAAUAUUGAUGGCCGGUCACAAUAAGGCAGUAGUAUUCAUGUCAGCUACUUGGGUAGCCACUCAAGCAGCCACCCCUGAGAGUCACCUCUCCCCUUCUCUUUGGACACCCAGUUCCAUGGAACUCCUCUCUUAUCAAACUCUUACAUUACAUCGACAUGUUUUCUGACAGUUACUUUCACUUUCUGUUACUUUCAAGUGGGAAUAGAAAACCCACAAACCAAAGAAUUUUUCCUUGAUCUGACAACAUUUUCCACUCUUUGAAUUAUAAGGCCUUUGCCUUUUCUUUACUUCUGCUUAACAAGCUUUUCAAUUGUGACAUUUCAAACUUUAUAAUAUCAAAGAAGCUACAUUGAAGCUUUAGCCCCCCCUUUAGUCACUUCAAUGAAGUACAUUAUACUUGCUUUUCUUAGUCUCUUCUGAUACCAGUGAAACAGAACUUUUAAAAGCUACAUUUUUCAGCUGGUUAUUUCUUCGGGAGAAAUCUCUUCCAAUAACCAAGGCUGAGACAACCAGCUGAUAUCAUGUAGUUCAGAUUCCUCAGCUUCUCUAUACACAUUCAUCUUCCUUUUUCCUGGGCUGUUCUGCAUCAGUCACAUUUUCUCAUACCGUCAUCUCUAGUCAAAGCUGGGGCCAAACCAAACUGGAGACUUUGUAAUACUUGUAUAUAAUAUAGCAGCACCGUACUUUCAAAUAUCCUUUCUCAACCUGUAUUGCCCCCUUUCCCACUCAGCUCCAUAGGAAAAGCACCAAACCACCCCCAGAAAAAGGUACAAGUUUGCAUUAGAGCAUCAAGUGGAUUGGGGGCUCAAUUUUAGUCUUUUUUUUAUCGUGAAGAAUGCUUGACUGGCAAUCAAAAAAAAAAGAUUUUGUUUUUAUUUUAUGAAUCAUUUAAGUAAUUCUCACUAGGAAUGUUUUUCCAAAGUUAAAGGCAGAAGGACUUUUAUGGCUUGUAUGCCAUCAACCAGAUGACAAAAAAAGUGGAUUAAUGUGGAUCAAACCUUGAAAACUGUCUGGUGUAACAAAUAGAAUUUUAAUUGAAAUUGGUGAUUUUGUUCGUCGACUUGCGACAAAAUGUUGAAGUUAAGUGCCAGGUUAAGAUACCAGGGAGUGGAAUUUUUUUUUUUCCUUUUACACUUUCAUGCACAUGCAUAAUAAUUAAUGUAAAUUAUCUUUUUUGUCAUUCCUCAAAUUGAGUGGAAUUUGGUAUUUUCUUAAAAACUGAUAUUUUUUCUCUAAAUAUUCCUAGAUUCAUUACGUGACUUUGUUUAGUCACCGAUGAACAUUCACAGAUCAAAACAUCUGGAAAAAUUAUGAAUGUUUGUUCUUUCUAUGCUAGGAAAUGAGAAUGAAAAGGGGACUAGAUCUAGGCCUAUUUCUAUUCUUAAAUUUUUUUUUACAAAUUCUGUUCAUGCAUGAGUUUGAUCCAUGGGAAAAAUAAAGGAAAACAAAUCAAAUUCCAGACAUCGUUGUUCUUUAGAAAUUAGCAAAAUUUGUUGGUGUAUGGGCAAUCACUUUUUAU